CGCACAUUGCGCCCUUCGGUAUUCCGUUGGGCAUGCCUGUUCGAGCGUCAUUUAAACCCUUCAAGCCUAGCUUGGUGUUGGGCGUUUGUCCUGCCUUUGCGUGCGGACUCGCCUUAAAUUCAUUGGCAGCCGGUAGAUUUGGCUUCGUGUGCAGCACAUUGCGCGACGACUCCAGCCUACCCCCAUCCAGUAAGCUAUUCUUUAUUUUGACCUCGGAUCAGGUAGGGAUACCCGCUGAACUUAA
This 244-nucleotide unclassified non-coding RNA is filed under the name Acrogenospora carmichaeliana. Its description in RNAcentral is "partial contains 5.8S ribosomal RNA, internal transcribed spacer 2, and large subunit ribosomal RNA". Lineage: Eukaryota; Fungi; Ascomycota; Dothideomycetes; Minutisphaerales; Acrogenosporaceae. The record is from RNAcentral.